GUAAACGACGACGUUUGGGUGUUGUAACUGGAAAGGGCUGCGAUUGUGGCAGAACCGGUUCAGAGUUGAGACGAAUCAGAACGACAGCUCUGUUGUACCUUACCGUGGAAAGUAAGAGCUCCGUCGGUUCUGGGUUUGAAAAUCCUGGUUAAUUUUGAGGUUCUUGACAGGAUUUAAUCGAUUCAGAUGAUUAACGAUGCGCUGUUUUGCCUGGACCAUUGUGAUUUAUAUAGCCUUGAAGUUUGAUGACACCAAUUUGGUUGGUUAUAGUUGGAGUGUAAUAGAGUGCAUCCUUGGAUUAUUGAUGCUUUCGGGUCAUCAAUCAGCUGGAAGACA
Prunus avium (sweet cherry) is the source of this 336-nucleotide long non-coding RNA. RefSeq lists it as uncharacterized. The record is from RefSeq and is a predicted model, not a curated record. NCBI's taxonomy places the organism in Eukaryota, Viridiplantae, Streptophyta, Magnoliopsida, Rosales, Rosaceae.